Molecule: ribosomal RNA, 538 nt
Filed under: uncultured bacterium
Lineage: Bacteria
Description: partial 16S ribosomal RNA
Rfam family: Bacterial small subunit ribosomal RNA
Source: RNAcentral
GAUGAACGCCGGCGGUGUGCCUAGUACAUGCAAGUCGAGCGCACUGGCCCAACAGAAAUGACGUGCUUGCACUGAUUUGACGUUGGAUUCCCAGUGAGCGGCGGACGGGUGAGUAACACGUGGCAACCUGCCCCAAAGCGGGGGAUAACAUUUGGAAACAGGUGCUAAUACCGCAUAACUUGGAAAACCACAUGGUUUUCCAAUAAAAGAUGGUUUCGGCUAUCACUUUGGGAUGGGCCCGCGGUGCAUUAGCUAGUUGGUGAGGUAGCGGCUUACCAAGGCGAUGAUGCAUAGCCGAGUUGAGAGACUGAUCGGCCACAAUGGAACUGAGACACGGUCCAUACUCCUACGGGAGGCAGCAGUAGGGAAUCUUCCACAAUGGGCGCAAGCCUGAUGGAGCAACACCGCGUGAGUGAAGAAGGGUUUCGGCUCGUAAAACUCUGUUGUUGGAGAAGAACGUGCGUAAGAGUAACUGUUUACGCAGUGACGGUAUCCAACCAGAAAGUCACGGCUAACUACGUGCCAGCCGCCGCAGUAA